Molecule: ribosomal RNA, 1438 nt
Filed under: uncultured organism
Description: 16S ribosomal RNA
Rfam family: Bacterial small subunit ribosomal RNA
Source: RNAcentral
CGCUGGCGGCGUGCUUAACACAUGCAAGUCGAACGGAAAGGCCCUGCUUUUGUGGGGUGCUCGAGUGGCGAACGGGUGAGUAACACGUGAGUAACCUGCCCUUGACUUUGGGAUAACUUCAGGAAACUGGGGCUAAUACCGGAUAGGAGCUCCUGCUGCAUGGUGGGGGUUGGAAAGUUUCGGCGGUUGGGGAUGGACUCGCGGCUUAUCAGCUUGUUGGUGGGGUAGUGGCUUACCAAGGCUUUGACGGGUAGCCGGCCUGAGAGGGUGACCGGCCACAUUGGGACUGAGAUACGGCCCAGACUCCUACGGGAGGCAGCAGUGGGGAAUAUUGCACAAUGGGCGGAAGCCUGAUGCAGCAACGCCGCGUGCGGGAUGACGGCCUUCGGGUUGUAAACCGCUUUCGCCUGUGACGAAGCGUGAGUGACGGUAAUGGGUAAAGAAGCACCGGCUAACUACGUGCCAGCAGCCGCGGUGAUACGUAGGGUGCGAGCGUUGUCCGGAUUUAUUGGGCGUAAAGGGCUCGUAGGUGGUUGAUCGCGUCGGAAGUGUAAUCUUGGGGCUUAACCCUGAGCGUGCUUUCGAUACGGGUUGACUUGAGGAAGGUAGGGGAGAAUGGAAUUCCUGGUGGAGCGGUGGAAUGCGCAGAUAUCAGGAGGAACACCAGUGGCGAAGGCGGUUCUCUGGGCCUUUCCUGACGCUGAGGAGCGAAAGCGUGGGGAGCGAACAGGCUUAGAUACCCUGGUAGUCCACGCUGUAAACGGUGGGUACUAGGUGUGGGGUCCAUUCCACGGGUUCCGUGCCGUAGCUAACGCUUUAAGUACCCCGCCUGGGGAGUACGGCCGCGAGGCUAAAACUCAAAGGAAUUGACGGGGCCCCGCACAAGCGGCGGAGCAUGCGGAUUAAUUCGAUGCAACGCGUAGAACCUUACCUGGGUUUGACAUGGAUCGGGAGUGCUCAGAGAUGGGUGUGCCUCUUUUGGGGUCGGUUCACAGGUGGUGCAUGGCUGUCGUCAGCUCGUGUCGUGAGAUGUUGGGUUAAGUCCCGCAACGAGCGCAACCCUUGUUCACUGUUGCCAGCACGUUAUGGUGGGGACUCAGUGGAGACCGCCGGGGUCAACUCGGAGGAAGGUGGGGAUGACGUCAAGUCAUCAUGCCCCUUAUGUCCAGGGCUUCACGCAUGCUACAAUGGCUGGUACAGAGAGUGGCGAGCCUGUGAGGGUGAGCGAAUCUCGGAAAGCCGGUCUCAGUUCGGAUUGGGGUCUGCAACUCGACCUCAUGAAGUCGGAGUCGCUAGUAAUCGCAGAUCAGCAACGCUGCGGUGAAUACGUUCCCGGGGCUUGUACACACCGCCCGUCAAGUCAUGAAAGUUGGUAACACCCGAAGCCGGUGGCCUAACCGUUGUGGGGGAGCCGUCGAAGGUGGGACUGGUGAUUAGG